RNAcentral lists this ribosomal RNA (454 nucleotides) under uncultured Prevotellaceae bacterium. RNAcentral describes it as "partial 16S ribosomal RNA". It matches the Rfam family "Bacterial small subunit ribosomal RNA", at positions 341 to 792 of the family's 1533-position model. Lineage: Bacteria; Pseudomonadati; Bacteroidota; Bacteroidia; Bacteroidales; Prevotellaceae. The record is from RNAcentral.
ACGGGAGGCAGCAGUGAGGAAUAUUGGUCAAUGGACGGAAGUCUGAACCAGCCAAGUCGCGUGAAGGAUGAAGGUAUUAUGUAUUGUAAACUUCUUUAGCAGUGGAGUAAUAAGGGGAUCGCGAUCCCUGAUGCAAGUACACUGAGAAUAAGGAUCGGCUAACUCCGUGCCAGCAGCCGCGGUAAUACGGAGGAUCCGAGCGUUAUCCGGAUUUAUUGGGUUUAAAGGGAGCGUAGGCGGAAGGUCAAGUCAGCUGUGAAAUGUAGUCGCUCAACGUCUGCACUGCAGUUGAAACUGGCCUCCUUGAGUGCGUAAGAGGCGGGCGGAAUUCGUCGUGUAGCGGUGAAAUGCUUAGAUAUGACGAAGAACUCCGAUUGCGAAGGCAGCUCGCUGGGCCGCAACUGACGCUGAAGCUCGAAGGUGCGGGUAUCAAACAGGAUUAGAUACCCUGGUA